UGGCGGCAGGCCUAACACAUGCAAGUCGAGCGGUAACAGAACUAGCUUGCUAGUUGCUGACGAGCGGCGGACGGGUGAGUAACGCGUGGGAAUCUGCCUGGUAGUGGGGGACAACAGUUGGAAACGACUGCUAAUACCGCAUACGCCCUUCGGGGGAAAGUGGGGGAUCUUCGGACCUCACGCUAUCAGAUGAGCCCGCGUCGGAUUAGCUUGUUGGUGAGGUAAAGGCUCACCAAGGCGAUGAUCCGUAGCUGGUCUGAGAGGAUGAUCAGCCACACUGGGACUGAGACACGGCCCAGACUCCUACGGGAGGCAGCAGUGGGGAAUAUUGGACAAUGGGGGCAACCCUGAUCCAGCCAUGCCGCGUGUGUGAAGAAGGCCUUCGGGUUGUAAAGCACUUUCAGAUGUGAGGAAAGGUGUGUGGUUAAUACCCGCAUACUGUGACGUUAACAUCAGAAGAAGCACCGGCUAACUCCGUGCCAGCAG
Molecule: ribosomal RNA, 486 nt
Filed under: marine sediment bacterium ISA-6394
Lineage: Bacteria
Description: bacterial SSU rRNA
Rfam family: Bacterial small subunit ribosomal RNA
Source: RNAcentral